UUAUUUUUUCUGGCCUCGGCCAUGAACUUGUAGGCCCAAAUUCCAGACUCCACGGGAGGAGGGGAAAACCCUUUGUUUAAAAAGAAAUGAGAUUCCUGAUGAACCUGUAACAACUGAAACUCCACUGAAAUACCACACACGCGGGCAAAAAGACACGUUCUUCAGUCAAAGAAGCCAUGAAACUCCUUCCCAGAGUGGUUACUUGGGAGUGGGGCUGGACAGACACAGGCCGUGGGGGUAGGGCGCGUUGUUUUAUCCCAAGAGACACUGAACCUGCCCCAGGAUGGUCUCACUGAACACCGAGGGCAAGGCUCUUCCAGGAAAUGUCUUGUUCCUGCCAUUGGCACGAAUGCACGGCGGCUUUAUUUCUGGAAGAUUCUAUUCUGCCUUUCCCAGUGUGCAGUUAUCCGCAGCCGUGGCAAUAUAGCUUUCUGCCUCGAAAUGUCGAUGUUAAGGGUCAUAGGUCACCUCUGGGCCACAGGCAUGGGCUACCCGCAGCCUGGGACUCAGGCGGUCCACAGCCACAGCCACAGCCCGGGCUGGCGGGCGCACAUCACCGGUUAAAGGCUCGGAGAAUGUUUUCCAGCACCUGGGCCGGGCGGCCGCCACCCAGGGCUGGGCCCGCCUCGCCGCCUGCAUUCUUCCCAGGAUCUGGCAGACGGCAGACGGGACGAGGGUGAGUGCAGAGCCCUGGGGGGAGAUGCGAUCACCUCAGCCCGCAGGCCAGGAGGCUCUGGUGUAGCCUGGCCCUGGUUUAGCCGAGGGGCUGCUCUGGGUCACUGUGUCCCGAGACUUCCCUUUCCUGUCCUUGGAGGGCCAGCGGGCUCACCGCCUCCUCCGCGGUUGCUGAGGCUACAUCGACCCAAGAACACAGGGGACAUUUAAUGCGACGGUUACCCCAGCUCGAAGGAGCCCACCUUCCCCUAAAGAUGUGCAGAGGCCUCUUGGGUCCUGGACUACAACCCGAUCCUGACUCGUGUGUGCCAUCGUAAGCAUUAGCCUUUCUUCUAAAACCCCACAGCCGCGAACUUACCUGAAGGUUCCUGGAAUGCAGUUAAGCUGUUUGGCCAUGAACACAGAGAACACACACACACACAGCGUGAAAGCAACACAUGAAGCCGCAGCACAUCACACCUAAGGACGGACGCGAGAGCCACAUGGGUGCCGUGGCAUGGCUACUGGGACUUGAAAAACAUUGAACGCUUCAGUGUGGCUGGGAAGUCUGAAAUGGAACCUGCCUCCCUGUGCUGUGUUCUGGGGUCAGUGACAACGCUGUUAUCUCCUGGGUGGCCGUCACACGGGAGACUGUGGGACACGCAUUGCAUUAUGAAGACAUUUAACACACACACGCAGCACAGCCUUAGAAAUUCUUGAAAGGCCUUAAGAGAAUAAAGAAGUGCACAUCAUUUCUUUAUCAUGCACGCUCAAAAUUCUCAUUUGAGCCACAGAUGCACACCCUGGCUAACUGCUGCUUUUGAUUAACUGUGGCAAAAAGGGUAACACCCCAGACUGAGCGAAGUCUUGGGGGCUGGGGGUACCAAUUAGAGAUAGAGCCCUGGAGAAGGAGGACUUGGAGAGGGGAGGGGUCCCUAACAGAUGGGGAAAGGUGAAAAUGGGGGGCAGGGAGGGUCCCCAAAGAUCUGGUUAGAAGAGCAUUGCUUCAUUACUUUGACUUUAAUCAUGACACCUCUGAAAAUUAUUUUUUUGUACCCAAAGCCAACCUGUGGAGGACCUUACCUUUGAGCCUCUUUGCCCCGGGCUAAAGCUGUUUGAAAAAAAAAUUCACAUGCAAACAUUUACAUGGUU
Non-coding RNA from Oryctolagus cuniculus (rabbit), 1806 nucleotides. Lineage: Eukaryota; Metazoa; Chordata; Mammalia; Lagomorpha; Leporidae. The record is from RefSeq and is a predicted model, not a curated record.